RNAcentral lists this ribosomal RNA (253 nucleotides) under uncultured bacterium. RNAcentral describes it as "partial 16S ribosomal RNA". It matches the Rfam family "Bacterial small subunit ribosomal RNA", at positions 524 to 776 of the family's 1533-position model. The record is from RNAcentral.
UACGUAGGGUGCGAGCGUUAAUCGGAAUUACUGGGCGUAAAGCGUGCGCAGGCGGUUUUAUAAGACAGGUGUGAAAUCCCCGGGCUCAACCUGGGAACGGCAUUUGUGACUGUAAGACUAGAGUACGGUAGAGGGGGAUGGAAUUCCGCGUGUAGCAGUGAAAUGCGUAGAUAUGCGGAGGAACACCGAUGGCGAAGGCAAUCCCCUGGACCUGUACUGACGCUCAUGCACGAAAGCGUGGGGAGCAAACAGG